This 912-nucleotide long non-coding RNA is filed under the name Nicotiana tabacum (common tobacco). RNAcentral describes it as "long non-coding RNA (NTAB_LNC013599)". The record is from RNAcentral. Lineage: Eukaryota; Viridiplantae; Streptophyta; Magnoliopsida; Solanales; Solanaceae.
AAUCACGAUGAUAGAACAAAACGCGCCUAAAGCAAACUACUUUCUUUAUUUGUUACAAAUGCUCACGACACCAACAUCCAUCUCACUUAACUAAAGACAAAUGACACACCAGCAAAUUAAAUUAAGACACCUUUUCACCUACAUCUACUUUGCAUUGGCAGGUUAUAAAUCCAGAAUACAACAAUUCUAAAGAACAUUAGAACUGAGAAGCAAAAACAACAUUGAGAAAUUAAAAACACAAAGGCAAAAUGGAGUCUUGGUUUUGUUUUUUUUCGCCCUCUUGGCUUGCUUCUGUAUUUACUAACCCCCCUCUUCUUUACCAAAGAAAUUCCACUCUUCAAUGACUGCCACAGUAACCCAAAUGUACAAAAAUUCAGUCUAAAUUUCAAACUUUACUUUCCUUAUUUGUUAAUUUACCUAUUAAUCUAAUCAUCACUUCACAAUACAAAACAACAGAUAAUUCAUCAAAUUAUUUAGUAGAUUAAUUACAACAAAAUUAAAUGAAUUAAAAAUAUGGAAGGCAUUUAUGAAAGAUUGAGCAAGGAAGCAAACAAGACUCAUAAAUAGACAACAGCAAAUAAAAUAAAUUUCAUAUUGGCUUAAUGAGUAAAAAUGAACACUAACAAAAUAUCAAAUGGAACAUUCACGAAACCUAAACGAGAAUCAUAUAGAACUGGAAUGAAAUGGGAAGAUGAACCUUUAUAUUGAUUGACAAAUUUGGCUUGUUACAUCUGCACUCCAAAGGUGAACAAAGUGUAGGAGCCUGACCACCGACCGGAGCUCGGAACCUCGCCACAAACUCGAAUUUGACUCAAACCCACUGCCAUUGAUGCCAACGUUGAAGCUAACAGAAUGGCUAUUUAUGGGGCUGUUUCCACUGUUUUCCAGCUGAGUUUUUGUGGAGUUCAUGGC